Molecule: long non-coding RNA, 95 nt
Organism: Sinocyclocheilus grahami
Lineage: Eukaryota; Metazoa; Chordata; Actinopteri; Cypriniformes; Cyprinidae
Exons: 3
Source: RefSeq, a predicted model, not a curated record
GUUUUGACUUAAGCGCUAGUUUUUAGCCAUCGCUCACUAUUCUGAUUUACCAGACUGUUUAUUGAUUGAGUUUUUCUGCGAUGGAAUAAAUCAAC